Molecule: non-coding RNA, 135 nt
Organism: Triticum aestivum (bread wheat)
Lineage: Eukaryota; Viridiplantae; Streptophyta; Magnoliopsida; Poales; Poaceae
Source: Rfam
UUACUACUCGCUCCAUCCCCAAUUUCUUGUCUUACAAUUGUCUAGAUACGGAUGUGUCUAAUCACGUUUUAGUGUUAGAUACAUCCGUAUCUAGACAAAUCUAAGACAAGAAUUGUGGGACGGAGGUAAUAUGUA